This 72-nucleotide transfer RNA is filed under the name Acidobacteriota bacterium. Its description in RNAcentral is "Acidobacteria bacterium tRNA-Lys". It matches the Rfam family "tRNA". From Rfam's summary of the family: Transfer RNA (tRNA) molecules are approximately 80 nucleotides in length. Their secondary structure includes four short double-helical elements and three loops (D, anti-codon, and T loops). Lineage: Bacteria; Pseudomonadati; Acidobacteriota. The record is from RNAcentral.
CAGGCUAUGACUAGGUAUAGCAGCAGACUCUUAAUCUGAAGGUUCCCGGUUCAAUUCCGGGGCGGCUCACCA